RNAcentral lists this ribosomal RNA (449 nucleotides) under uncultured Anaplasma sp. RNAcentral's name for it is "bacterial SSU rRNA". It matches the Rfam family "Bacterial small subunit ribosomal RNA", at positions 19 to 496 of the family's 1533-position model. The record is from RNAcentral. Lineage: Bacteria; Pseudomonadati; Pseudomonadota; Alphaproteobacteria; Rickettsiales; Anaplasmataceae.
CUGGCUCAGAACGAACGCUGGCGGCAAGCUUAACACAUGCAAGUCGAACGGACCGUAUACGCAGCUUGCUGCGUGUAUGGUUAGUGGCAGACGGGUGAGUAAUGCAUAGGAAUCUACCUAGUAGUAUGGGAUAGCCACUAGAAAUGGUGGGUAAUACUGUAUAAUCCCUGCGGGGGAAAGAUUUAUCGCUAUUAGAUGAGCCUAUGUCAGAUUAGCUAGUUGGUGGGGUAAUGGCCUACCAAGGCGGUGAUCUGUAGCUGGUCUGAGAGGAUGAUCAGCCACACUGGAACUGAGACACGGUCCAGACUCCUACGGGAGGCAGCAGUGGGGAAUAUUGGACAAUGGGCGCAAGCCUGAUCCAGCUAUGCCGCGUGAGUGAGGAAGGCCUUAGGGUUGUAAAACUCUUUCAGUAGGGAAGAUAAUGACGGUACCUACAGAAGAAGUCCCGG